AACGAACGCUGGCGGCAUGCCUAACACAUGCAAGUCGAACGAGACCUUCGGGUCUAGUGGCGCACGGGUGCGUAACGCGUGGGAACCUGCCCUUAGGUUCGGAAUAACUCCCCGAAAGGGGUGCUAAUACCGGAUAAUGUCUUCGGACCAAAGAUUUAUCGCCUUUGGAUGGGCCCGCGUUGGAUUAGCUAGUUGGUAGGGUAAAAGCCUACCAAGGCGACGAUCCAUAGCUUGUCUGAGAGGCUGAUCAGCCACACUGGGACUGAGACACGGCCCAGACUCCUACGGGAGGCAGCAGUGGGGAAUAUUGGACAAUGGGCGAAAGCCUGAUCCAGCAAUGCCGCGUGAGUGAUGAAGGCCUUAGGGUUGUAAAGCUCUUUUACCCGGGAUGAUAAUGACAGUACCGGGAGAAUAAGCUCCGGCUAACUCCGUG
RNAcentral lists this ribosomal RNA (433 nucleotides) under uncultured bacterium. Its description in RNAcentral is "partial 16S ribosomal RNA". It matches the Rfam family "Bacterial small subunit ribosomal RNA", at positions 29 to 507 of the family's 1533-position model. The record is from RNAcentral.